This 346-nucleotide unclassified non-coding RNA is filed under the name soil metagenome. RNAcentral's name for it is "partial contains 5.8S ribosomal RNA, internal transcribed spacer 2, and large subunit ribosomal RNA". The stretch from base 4 to 122 matches the Rfam family "5.8S ribosomal RNA", at positions 37 to 154 of the family's 154-position model. The record is from RNAcentral.
GAUUGAAGAACGCAGCGAAAUGCGAUAAGUAAUGCGAAUUGCAGAAUUUCCGUGAGUCAUCGAAUCUUUGAACGCACAUUGCGCCCACUGGUAUUCCGGUGGGCAUGCCUGUUCGAGCGUCAUUAUCCUCCCUCAAACCCCGGGUUUGGUGUUGGACCCAAGUUGUGUGAACAACUGGUCUCAAAGACAAUGACGGCGUCCGUGGGACCCUCGGUGCAACGAGCUUUUAGGAGCACGCAUCGAGUUGCAAGGACCUUCCGGGCCGGUCUCCUUUACCAUUUUACAAGGUUGACCUCGGAUCAGGUAGGAAUACCCGCUGAACUUAAGCAUAUCAAUAAGCGGAGGA